CCGGGAGCAUUGAUUUUGAGAUUGCAAACUAGUUUUAGUGGGUAAUGCAAGGCACUUGUAUUGGUUCGAACCCCGAGCGCACGCCAACAGACAACACAAGGCGGUGUGGAGCAACACGCUGUUUUAAUAAGCGCCCGAGCGCCGGCGGGCUGAGGCCUAAAAUGGCGUCAGCCCGAAACGGGGACGGGGCAGGGGUUUUAUAGUCUCCUGUUAACAGGACGUGUCUGACGUAACUGCUACGCUUACCCAGACGGCCUCUCUCUUGGUCUUCGGCGGGUACGUGUCUUCCGGCCAGCUCUCUUCCGCUUCUGCUGUCUUGAUGACGCACAGUGCUGGCGCAAGUCGUCUUGCGCCAGGCGACUGGGUCUGAGGAGGCAGGAGUUAUUCAUUCCCUUAAGCUUUCAGGCCGGGGGGAGAAUCUUUCAGGUGGUAGCUGCAAGAACUCUUAGUAUGUUGACCUCACCUCUGCCUUCCACAUACCACUACCAGUGAGGAAUUAGGAAUGCAUGAGAAGAGUGUCCAAGAAGAGUGUCCUCAUUCAUGCAAGGCUUAAGAGAGAAUGCAGGUCAACAUCACCAUGUCAAUCAGAGAAUACUUCUGUUGGGUUGAAUGACUCUCUGCCCCCAGUCUGACUGGUUGGAAGAGGCCCUUUUCCCAGCCUUUGUAGUGUUUUGCUGCUACAUGAAGGUGCACAUGUCUGGGAAGGCUCAGGAAUGGAUGUUGACAUCAUGUCAUAAACCCCUAUUGUGGUUUCAGUCAUUUGUGGAAUGGUUGCAGAUGGCGAUCAACUGAAGAACGGAUUUGUGGCGUUGUUGCUUUCAGAGUGACUAACCAUACCAGUUUGACCAAGACUGUAUUGGCUGCAGCACUUAAAAGCUCACAUCCCGGAAAUCCUUUGGUCCUCGGUGAAUUGGGAUGGUUGGUUACCCUAUUACUGAUGAUUGUAAUUCUCAG
This 954-nucleotide long non-coding RNA is filed under the name Homo sapiens (human). RNAcentral describes it as "HSALNT0268865". The record is from RNAcentral. Lineage: Eukaryota; Metazoa; Chordata; Mammalia; Primates; Hominidae.